This 29-nucleotide non-coding RNA is filed under the name Rattus norvegicus (Norway rat). Lineage: Eukaryota; Metazoa; Chordata; Mammalia; Rodentia; Muridae. The record is from RNAcentral.
GUCUACAUUAGAGCCUCGCAACCUCGCAU